Molecule: long non-coding RNA, 2466 nt
Organism: Mobula hypostoma (lesser devil ray)
Lineage: Eukaryota; Metazoa; Chordata; Chondrichthyes; Myliobatiformes; Myliobatidae
Exons: 3
Source: RefSeq, a predicted model, not a curated record
UAUGACUAAUAAUAAGGGGCUCAGUGCAACUUCCUAUGAUAAUUGCAGUGGUCAGACUUAAAACUACAAAAAUAGCCAUCAAUCAUUACCAUCUGCCUUCUAUACCAAACUAACUUUGGAGCCAAUGUAUCAACUUGAUCUGAAGUCCAUGGAUCCUGAAGCUUAGAGUAUUCCGUUUGGGACCUUGUCAAAGCCUUACAGAAAGAAUUCCAUGUAAACAGCAUUAACUGAACAAGCCUGAGCAACACGUUUAGUGAUUUCCUUAGAAUAUUCAAUCAAAUUGGUCAGUGCCAUAUUAACUAUCAAUCCCAGCCUCUACAAGUGCAGAUUAAUCCUAUCACUCAGAUUGUUUUCCGGUAAUUUUCUUACCACUGACCUUAGUUGGCUAAUCCCUGUGACAUCAAGAAUAUGUUGUUAUAUGUUAAUCAUCACCCUCAGUUCAUCUGCUAUACUCAUCAGACUCCUUGCGCUAAAAUAAGUUCAAAGUUCAAAGUAAAUUUUAUAAUCUAAGUGCUUGUAUGUCACCAUAUACGACCCCUGAGAUUCAAUUUCCUGCAGGCUUAUUCAGCAAAUCUAUAGAAGAGUAACCAUAACAGGAUCUGUGAAAUAUCAAAUGGAGUGCAGAAGAGAACAAACUGUGCAAAUGCAACUAUAAAUAAUAAUGAGAACAUGAGAUAAAGAGUCCUUAGAGUGAGAUCAUUGGUUGUGGGAACAUCUCAAUGGACGGGUGAUCUAACCUUGUACUCUUCUCAUUUGCUGGGAAUUUAGGCUUCCUGCUAUAUUUAUCUAUUCCUCACUUUGUACCUUACCCCAUAACUAGAUGGACUUAAUUUUCCUUCUGAGAGUUCCUUACUCACAUUAUACUCUUAUUCUGUUUACCAUUCACCUGCCCUUGCAAAGAUAAAAAGAAAACACAGAUAAACAGGGUGUUUCAGAUAUGACACCCCUCAUCAGAACUGGGAAGGAGAAACAAGUCAGAAGAGGUGUCAGAGAAGAUUGGGGAAGGCUGGUGGAACGGAAGGAAUUUCUUUGAUCUGCCUGUCUAUGCAGAAAAUAAAAAAAGGACAGGAGGGAGAAAUGGAAACAAACAGGAAGAAUGACAUUGAGGAAUUUGAUACUGACUCUUGCAGAAUGCAAAAUGCCCAGAAGGCAGAUGAGAUGUUGUUCCUCAAACUUGUAUGGGCUUCAUUGUAACCCUGCAGGAAGCUACAGACAGAAUGGGAGGAGGCUGAUGAACUAAAGAUGUUGGCCGCCAAAUCUCAUGGUCACUCCCUCCCUUUUGUAAAAGAGAAAUCAGAUAAUCAUGGAGUGAGCCAUCUGGAUAUGAAUCUUUGUGUUUAAGCCAGUCUCAGCAGGAUAAAGUCAUUAUAAGAUCAAUGUGAAAUUCCAAAUUGAAAUUAUGACUUUAGAGAAGCUUAAUUUGAGAUAUUUUCUGAACUAUUUACAAUAUUUUGGAUACAGAUCGUACCAAAUCGCACUUUUGGCUCACCGUCAAUUUCUAGUCGGAUGCAGUGCAGAUCAACUUUUUGCCUACACACAGAAAUGUGUUUCCCUCUCAAAUAAUCAUUGCCAAAGAAAGUAGUGACUCUGUUGCCAGCCCUGUGACUAUCCCACAGAGAAUUUUUGAGCCUGAAAAUUCACACUCAACAAUUUAGAAAUGGUUUCUUCCCCUCUGCCAUCAGAUUUCUGAACUGUCCAUGAACAAUGUCUCCAUUAACAUUGCCUAAACUGUUUCCCCUCCAAGGAUGCUGAGUUCCUCCAGCACUUUGUGUGUUGCUACCUUGGUAUUCCUUUACUUGCAGUAUUUAUUUUUAGUAAUUACAGAAAUUUUAUGUUUUCAUCCAACAAAACAAUAAAUUUCACGUGACACACAUAAAAGUUGCUGGUGAACGCAGCAGGCCAGGCAGCAUCUCUAGGAAGAGGUACAGUCGACGUUUCAGGCCGAGACCCUGAGGUGCUUCCUAGAGAUGCUGCCUGGCCUGCUGCAUUCACCAGCAACUUUGAUGUGUGUUGCUUGAAUUUCCAGCAUCUGCAGAAUUCCUUGUGUUUGCGUUUUUAAAUUUCACAUGAUAUAAUUCAAUGAUAAUAAAUCUGAAUGUGAUGUUGAUUCUGCUUCCAAAAUACACCAAAUACACAAAUGAACUGCAUGAAAAUGGAUAUCAUGUCUCAAACUGAUAAUUUCUAGGCAGCUAUCAUAUUUCUUACUUUAGAAAGGAAUUGAUAGAAUUGGCAGAAGUUAGUUGACAUUUACAACAGAAGCUGCACCAGUUUAAUCUGUCCCAGGAAUAACAAAAAUAAUGUUAGAAAAACAGUAUUAGAAUAGCCCUCAAACUACUGGAAUUUUUUGAAGGUUUAAGUCACUGAUGUCAUCAUAUUAACAUAUCCAGAGACUGAAAUGGUUUAGAAAUUAUGCAAAAACCAUACUGAGGUUUGGAGGGAAUCCUCUUCAAGAACUGACCUGUGGCU